CUCGGCGAUGGCCGUGGUGUUGCUCAGCAUGCAGACGGCACGCUGCACCUUGGCCAGAUCACCACCAGGCACGACGGUAGGUGGCUGGUAGUUGAUGCCCACCUUGAAGCCAGUUGGACACCAGUCGACGAACUGGAUGGUGCGCUUGGUCUUGAUGGUUGCUAUGGCAGCGUUGACAUCCUUGGGGACGACAUCACCACG
Long non-coding RNA from Acanthaster planci (crown-of-thorns starfish), 201 nucleotides. The record is from RefSeq and is a predicted model, not a curated record. Lineage: Eukaryota; Metazoa; Echinodermata; Asteroidea; Valvatida; Acanthasteridae.